RNAcentral lists this ribosomal RNA (245 nucleotides) under uncultured bacterium. RNAcentral describes it as "partial 16S ribosomal RNA". It matches the Rfam family "Bacterial small subunit ribosomal RNA", at positions 15 to 262 of the family's 1533-position model. The record is from RNAcentral.
GAUCAUGGCUCAGAUUGAACGCUGGCGGCAUGCCUUACACAUGCAAGUCGAACGGUAACAGGUCUUCGGACGCUGACGAGUGGCGAACGGGUGAGUAAUACAUCGGAACGUGCCCAGUCGUGGGGGAUAACUACUCGAAAGAGUAGCUAAUACCGCAUACGAUCUGAGGAUGAAAGCGGGGGACCUUCGGGCCUCGCGCGAUUGGGGCGGCCGGAGUGGCAGAUUAGGUAGUUGGUGGGAUAAAG